RNAcentral lists this ribosomal RNA (253 nucleotides) under uncultured bacterium. Its description in RNAcentral is "partial 16S ribosomal RNA". It matches the Rfam family "Bacterial small subunit ribosomal RNA", at positions 524 to 776 of the family's 1533-position model. The record is from RNAcentral.
UACGAAGGACCCAAGCGUUAUCCGGAUUUAUUGGGUUUAAAGGGUGCGUAGGCGGGUUAUUAAGUCAGUGGUGAAAGCCUGCAGCUUAACUGUAGAAUUGCCAUUGAUACUGAUGAUCUUGAGUAUGAUUGAGGUGGGCGGAAUGUGUCAUGUAGCGGUGAAAUGCUUAGAUAUGACACAGAACACCGAUUGCGAAGGCAGCUCACUAAGCCAUAACUGACGCUGAUGCACGAAAGCGUGGGGAGCAAACAGG